AAGGGAAUCAUUGAUCCAACAAAGGUUGU
RNAcentral lists this non-coding RNA (29 nucleotides) under Cricetulus griseus (Chinese hamster). The record is from RNAcentral. Lineage: Eukaryota; Metazoa; Chordata; Mammalia; Rodentia; Cricetidae.